This 268-nucleotide ribosomal RNA is filed under the name uncultured prokaryote. RNAcentral's name for it is "partial 16S ribosomal RNA". It matches the Rfam family "Bacterial small subunit ribosomal RNA", at positions 524 to 792 of the family's 1533-position model. The record is from RNAcentral.
UACGUAGGUGGCGAGCGUUGUCCGGAUUUACUGGGCGUAAAGAGCGCGUAGGCGCCUGUCAAGUCCGAGGUGAAAUCUCCCGGCUCAACCGGGAGAGGUCUUUGGAUACUGCCAGGCUUGAGGUAGGUAGAGGAGAGCGGAAUUCCCGGUGUAGCGGUGGAAUGCGUAGAUAUCGGGAGGAACACCAGUGGCGAAGGCGGCUCUCUGGGCCUCACCUGACGCUGAGGCGCGAAAGCGUGGGGAGCGAACCGGAUUAGAUACCCGCGUA